CCGCGGCCUAUCAGCUUGUUGGUGGGGUGAUGGCCUACCAAGGCGGUGACGGGUAGCCGGCCUGAGAGGGCGACCGGCCACACUGGGACUGAGACACGGCCCAGACUCCUACGGGAGGCAGCAKUGGGGAAUAUUGCGCAAUGGGCGGAAGCCUGACGCAGCGACGCCGCGUGGGGGAUGACGGCCUUCGGGUUGUAAACCUCUUUCGCCAGGGACGAAGAGUGAUUGACGGUACCUGGAGAAGAAGCACCGGCCAACUACGUGCCAGCAGCCGCGGUAACACGUAGGGUGCGAGCGUUGUCCGGAAUUAUUGGGCGUAAAGAGCUCGUAGGCGGUGUGUCGCGUCGGCCGUGAAAACUUGGGGCUUAACUCUGAGCGUGCGGUCGAUACGGGCAUCACUUGAGUUCGGCAGGGGAGACUGGAAUUCCUGGUGUAGCGGUGAAAUGCGCAGAUAUCAGGAGGAACACCGGUGGCGAAGGCGGGUCUCUGGGCCGAUACUGACGCUGAGGAGCGAAAGCGUGGGGAGCGAACAGGAUUAGAUACCCUGGUAGUCCACGCCGUAAACGUUGGGCGCUAGGUGUGGGGACCAUUCCACG
Molecule: ribosomal RNA, 596 nt
Filed under: bacterium 1a82709
Lineage: Bacteria
Also listed under: 2 other names
Description: bacterial SSU rRNA
Rfam family: Bacterial small subunit ribosomal RNA
Source: RNAcentral